UUGAGAUAUGCAAAAACAUUAUUUAUAUGAAAAUGCCAAUAAGAAUAUUGAUGGUAUUGAUUUGAUUGAAAGUUAACAAAAUAAAAUAAUGAAUCGUUAUCAGAAAAGGAAGAAAGGCAUGUCAUAUUUAAAAAAAUUAUAAUGUAUACUUUAUAUUAGUGUAUAAAAAUAUUGGUUUGACAAUGGUGUAAAUAAUUAAAAUUAUUAGUCUCCAGAAUCAUUAAAAUCU
Cinara cedri is the source of this 229-nucleotide non-coding RNA. The record is from the annotation of a GenBank genome assembly. Lineage: Eukaryota; Metazoa; Arthropoda; Insecta; Hemiptera; Aphididae.